GACAGAGGUGCCGAGCGUUAGGCGGAAUCACUGGGCUUAAAGCGUGUGUAGGCGGAUCGUUAAGUACCUUGUGAAAUCCCACGGCUCAACCGUGGAACUGCUUGGUAUACUGGCGGUCUUGAGCCAGCUAGGGGCUACCGGAACAAAUGGUGGAGCGGUGAAAUGCGUAGAUAUCAUUUGGAACGCCAAUGGUGAAAACAGGUAGCUGGGGCUGUGCUGACGCUGAGACACGAAAGCCAGGGGAGCGAACGGG
RNAcentral lists this ribosomal RNA (253 nucleotides) under uncultured bacterium. RNAcentral describes it as "partial 16S ribosomal RNA". It matches the Rfam family "Bacterial small subunit ribosomal RNA", at positions 524 to 776 of the family's 1533-position model. The record is from RNAcentral.